Molecule: small RNA, 125 nt
Filed under: Marmota monax (woodchuck)
Lineage: Eukaryota; Metazoa; Chordata; Mammalia; Rodentia; Sciuridae
Source: RNAcentral
GCCAGGUUUGAUGGCUCACGCCUGUAAUCCUAGAGGCAUGUGAGGCUGAGGCAGGAGGAUCAGGAUUUCAAAGCCAGCCUCAGCAAAAAUGAGGCUCUGAACAACUCAGUGAGAUCCUGUCUCUA